CUGUGAACCUCAGGACUGAACUAAGAUAGCCAAUCAGCACCUGGAGAGCCAAAGGCAUGGGACAGAAUUGAAGACCCCAAAACCAACUCACCAUGUUUCUGGUCAGCAUGACCCUGGGCCACAUGGCCCUCGGGUGUGGUCUCUGAGCCAUUCUGGUUGUGCCAGUCCCAGUGCUGGUUCCAGAGCAGCCCUGUGUCCUGUCCCCAUGGAGAAGCAACAGGAUUCAGCCAAGAGAGGCAUCUGGCUCUCUUCCCACCUCUGAAGAGGAGCCACUCCCUGAAGCCAUCUGGGAUCCCAGAGCUUCCAGAAACAAGAUACAUGAGGCACUGUGUCUCUGCCGGGGGUGGGGGGCUCCACUUGCUUUUGAGUGUGCAGGGGGCCUUGGAUUAGAAAGCAGGAAACCAG
This 405-nucleotide long non-coding RNA is filed under the name Rhinopithecus bieti (black snub-nosed monkey). RNAcentral's name for it is "lncRNA (ENSRBIG00000046263.1)". The record is from RNAcentral. Lineage: Eukaryota; Metazoa; Chordata; Mammalia; Primates; Cercopithecidae.